RNAcentral lists this ribosomal RNA (300 nucleotides) under uncultured Acinetobacter sp. RNAcentral describes it as "bacterial SSU rRNA". It matches the Rfam family "Bacterial small subunit ribosomal RNA", at positions 496 to 795 of the family's 1533-position model. Lineage: Bacteria; Pseudomonadati; Pseudomonadota; Gammaproteobacteria; Moraxellales; Moraxellaceae. The record is from RNAcentral.
GUGAACGUGGGGCCGGCAGCCGUGGGUAGAGAGGGGGCCAAAUGGUGGUUCGGAUGUGCUGGGGGGAAAGGGGGAGUAGGUGGCCAGGUAAGUUUGGUGUGAAAGCUCGGAGCUCAACUCCGAAAUGUCAUUGAAUACUAUCUGGCUGGAGGGUCGGAGGGGAGACUGGAAUUCUCGGUGUAGCAGUGAAAUGCGUAGAUAUCGAGAGGAACACCAGUGGCGAAGGCGAGUCUCUGGACGACUCCUGACACUGAGGCACGAAAGCUAGGGGAGCAAACAGGAUUAGAUACCCCUGUAGUC